Molecule: long non-coding RNA, 738 nt
Filed under: Brassica napus (rape)
Lineage: Eukaryota; Viridiplantae; Streptophyta; Magnoliopsida; Brassicales; Brassicaceae
Description: long non-coding RNA (BNAP_LNC023969)
Source: RNAcentral
CAGAAUGAAUCGCGCUGUUAGAACCUUCAUUUGGAUACAUAAAGUAGUGUAGAAUCACCAGGAAGUUGAAUAAAUCUCAUAGGAGUUAGGAUGAAGAAGUUAACCCACUCUCAAAUAAGGUGAUCCUAGUUUUCCUGUUUGGGAAUAUGACAACUUCUUCGACAUCCUAUUCAAACCAGGAUGAAUCGCGAUGUACAAAGCUUGAUUUGGAUACAUAAAGUAGUGGAGAAUCACCAGGAAGUUGAAUAUAUCUCAUAGGAGUUAGGAUGAAGAAGUUAUCCCACUUUCAAAUAAGGUGAUCUCAGUUUCCCUGUUUGGGAAUAUGACAACUUCUUCGUCAUUCUAAUCAAACCAGGAUGAAUCACGAUCUAAGAACCUUCAUUUGGAUACAUAAAGUAGUGGAGAAUCACCAGGAAGUUGAAUAAAUCUCAUAGGAGUUAGGAUGAAGAAGUUAUCUCACUUUCAAAUAAGGUGAUCCCAGUUUUCCUGUUUGGGUAUAUGACAACUUCUUCGACAUCCUAAUUAAACCAGGAUGAAUCGCGAUGUACAAAGCUUGAUUUGGAUACAUAAAGUAGUGAAGAAUCACCAGGUAGUUGAAUAAAUCUCAUAGGAGUUAGGAUGAAGAAGUUAUCCCAUUUUCAAAUAAGGUGAUCCCAGUUUCCCUGUUUGGGAAUAUGACAACUUCUUUGUCAUUCUAAUCAAACCAGGAUGAAUCACGAUGUAAGAACCUUUAUUUGG